Molecule: ribosomal RNA, 446 nt
Filed under: uncultured bacterium
Lineage: Bacteria
Description: partial 16S ribosomal RNA
Rfam family: Bacterial small subunit ribosomal RNA
Source: RNAcentral
CCUACGGGAGGCAGCAGUCGAGAAUCAUUCACAAUGGGGGAAACCCUGAUGGUGCGACGCCGCGUGGGGGAAUGAAGGUCUUCGGAUUGUAAACCCCUGUCAUGUGGGAGCAAAUUAAAAAGAUCGUACCACAAGAGGAAGAGACGGCUAAAUCUGUGCCAGCAGCCGCGGUAAUCCAGAGGUCUCAAGAGUUGUUCGGAAUAACUGGGCGUAAAGCGUGCGUAGGCUGUUUCGUAAGUCGUGUGUGAAAGGCGCGGGCUCAACCCGCGGACGGCACAUGAUACUGCGAGACUAGAGUAAUGGAGGGGGAACCGGAAUUCUCGGUGUAGCAGUGACAUGUGUAGAUAUCGAGAGGAACACUCGUGGCGAAGGCGGGUUCCUGGACAUUAACUGACGCUGAGGCACGAAGGCCAGGGGAGCGAAAGGGAUUAGAUACCCCAGUAGUC